Molecule: long non-coding RNA, 3454 nt
Organism: Siniperca chuatsi (mandarin fish)
Lineage: Eukaryota; Metazoa; Chordata; Actinopteri; Centrarchiformes; Sinipercidae
Exons: 4
Source: RefSeq, a predicted model, not a curated record
UUUGCUGUGUCACUGCAAACAGUCAAGGCUGUGCGGACUGGCUGACUGAGGACCUGUUUUCUUAAAAUAUUUUUACCUGAGGAUAGACUUCAUCCACUGACCUCUGCAGAACUCUCGGGGGUGUUCAGUUGAAAAGAGAAGAAGAAAGAAAAAAGAUGGAAAACAAUCUUGAGGAGGAAGAGAGCAUCACCCUGUCGGAGGUCAGACUCAUCCUGAUUGGUGGGAGAUGGGCUGGCAAGAGCUCCUCUGGCAACACCAUACUGAGAAAGGAAAGGUUUGAGUGCGGUCGAACCAGAACAGGACGGAAAAGAGACGGAGGAGGGCAGGAACAAAGACAACAAAUGCAAACACUCAUUCCAGGUGAAUGUGGCAGUAGGUGCACUCAAACAAACACUUCUUUUAUAUAUAUAUACACAUAUAUACAUAUAUACAUAUAUACACAUAUAUACAUAUAUACAUAUAUAUACAUAUAUAUGCACAUAUAUAUACAUAUAUAUAUACAUAUAUACAUAUAUACAUAUAUAUACAUAUAUAUGCACAUAUAUAUACAUAUAUAUAUACAUAUAUACAUAUAUACAUAUAUAUACAUAUAUAUGCACAUAUAUAUACAUAUAUAUAUACAUAUAUACAUAUAUAUACAUAUUUUUAUACAUAUAUACACAUAUUUUUUUAUAUAUAUAUACAUAUAUAUAUAUAUAUAUAUAUAUAUAUAUAUAUAUAUAUAUAUAUAUAUAUAAACUUCGCCCUUCACCCUCCGCGGGUGGUCUCGUCCCCUUCGAGCUCGGGUCCUCUACCAGAGGCCUGGGAGCUUGAGGGUUCUGCGCAGUAUCUUUGCUGUUCCCAGUACUGCACUCUGGACUGAGAUGUCUGGUGUUCUUCCAGGGAUCUGCUGUAGCCACUCCUCCAGUUUGGGGGUCACUGCUCCGAGUGCUCCGAUGACCACGCGCACCACUGUCGCCUUCACCUUCCAGGCCUUCUCCAGCUCUUCUCUGAGCCCUUGGUAUUUCUCUAGUUUCUCAUGUUCCUUUUUCCUGAUGUUGCCAUCACUUGGUAUUGCCACGUCAACCACAACGGCUUUCCUCUGCUGAUUUGGGAUAAUGAUUCCAGAAAUAGAUUACAGGAGCUGAGGAAAGUGAUGCUUGGUCAGAAGACAUUUGGAAAGAGUGCAACAGGAAAUAACCUCCUGCGUAAAGAAGUGUCCGCCACCUGUCAGAAUAAGCACUGUCAGGUGGGGGAGGGCGAAGUUGCUGGCAGAUUGAUCACAGUGAUCGACACCCUGGGCUGGUGGAAGGAGCCCUCCCGCUGCACUGAAGAGAUGGACAAAGAAAUUGUCCGAGGUCUGUCGUUGAGCCCAUUAGAGGUUCAUGCUGUUCUGCUGGUUGUCCCCUUGGACCUGACGUUCAGAGAAGCUCGGCAGGUCGCCCUAGAGGAACACAUGAACCUCCUUGAUGCCAGCGUCUGGAAACACACCAUGGUUCUGUUCACAUACGGAGACAAACUAGCAGAUAAAUCCACACAUUGAAAGGGAGUAUAGCGCUCUAUGCUGGUUGGUAGACAAGUGUGAGAACAAAUACCACACUGUGAACAAUAUGAAGAAAACUGAUAUGAGUCAGGUUACUGAACUGUUUGAGAAGAUAGAGGAAAUGGUGGCAGGGGACAGCGGCCAGCUCUUCUGCUCUGACAUGAAUGACACCCACCUGAGAAUUAAUGAGAAGUUCAGGAGGAGGUGCAUGUGCUAAAGCAACGACUGGAGGAGACAUGCAGGAGGAGAGAGCUGGAGCUGAUGAUGGGCUUCAAGGAAACUCCCCGAGCUGCAAGCUGAGAUCAGGGGAAGCGUGAAAAGCACUAAAUCCAAGUCACUGAUUGUUAGUUGGUGACAUGACCAAAAUCAAAGCCAAAGGUUUUGGUCAGAGGAAGAAAGAUGGAAAGGAGAAGGAGGAAACCAUCAAUGCAAAAAUCAACCAGGAAAUUGACAAGCUGGAUAAGGACAUAAUGAGAUCCACAGAUGUUCUUCGGAGCAGCAAAGAGUUCUUGCUUCCAAGCUGUAAGUUAAAAAGGUAUUAUAAUUUCUAGCACUCACAAUAGUACUGAGUAUGAAGUCACAGUCAGUUUUUGUGUAAUUUACAGUGUAAGGAGAAAUCCCAGCACCAUCUAUCGCUGGGUCUUUAUCAGACAGGAAAACAUUAACCAGCCAUUUUUAUAAAGUUCUACAGUGGCUGUCCGCACUUCAGAUCGGCACUAAUGUCGGCCGGCCCCCAUAACUUCUCUCAGACGUCAGGAUACAGAUCUGUGCUACCACACGACGACGACUUGGACUGUGACUUUGACAUAGAAGCUGAUAUUCCUGAAUGAAUAGUCUCAAUAGGCGGAUGUAAUAGAAAAUGCAUUUUAGCAAUGCAGAACUUGCACACAGGGAAUUUUUAAUGGUCUAAGAAAAGGGAAGGCCUACGUUAAACAUCAUUCCUGCAAAAGAGCACUUGUGCUAAGCCAAAGUGUACUAAUAAAGGUUAGACAGCCAGACAGCCAGAUAGACAGAUAGAUAGAUAGAUAGAUAGAUAGAUAGAUAGAUAGAUAGCAUAAUAUAACGGAAAACCAAGUUUAUUCACUGUCACAAGUGUUGAUUCAGUUCUGUGGUAAUUUGGGGGCUGUAGUUAGAAGUGUUCUUCUUUUGCGGGGUUCUUAUUAGCUACACCUUAUAAUAUAACAUUUCAAUCAUUAAACUGUACUAGAUUUCCCAUUCUUUUUAGGUGAUUUAUAUAUCCCUGUCUUCACAACAAUACAUUAAUUACACAAUAUGUUGUCUUUAUACAGUACCAAACAUGUUCUUUGAUGCGAUAGCCAAUUGCAAUGGACAAAGGUGUCUCAGUCUGACUUGUAUAGAGACUUUUUGCUGUAAUGCAGUUUUAUUUUAUUUGCCUGAGAAAGUAAUUCAAGGUGAAGGGAAGGCAAUCUGAAAACUGUCUCACCGGAUUUGUAUUCAUGUGGAAGCUACAGAAUGUCCCCACCGAGCUGAUAAAAUUCAGCAUGUAAUGUAAUUUGUUUCUCCAUUUUGAAGAGGAAAGAUUAAAUCUGCAAUUGAAUGUCACAGUGUACUUGGAAUUUUCCACUAAAUGAAUAAAACAAAUGAGGUUAUGGAGUAGAAUGGUUGCGUACAGUAUUUAUUUACAUUCAGAAAUGAAAAUAUCAGUUGAGUAUGUCAUGUAACUUUAUUAGAUGGGUCCUGCUUCUUCUACUUCUGUUACAGCAAUAAUAAAUAAUGUUUUUAUUAUUAUGAAUGAAUUGAAUUGCAAUUACACUUUGCAUAAAUUAUCAUCAUUAUCAUAAAUUGUAAACUGGACAGUAACAAAAGAAAAAAAUGUUUUAGGCGGCUCUUUAUUAAAAAGCUUUUUAUUUCAAAAGUCACUGGUGCCUGGAUACUGCAGUUAUUAUUAAACUUGAAUCUUCUGACAGGGAA